CCUCAUCACACAUGGAGGUACUUAUGUUGGUGUUGUAUGGUCGUAGCGUUGCCAUCCUUGUCUUCCGAAUACAUGGGUGAUCGCCCGGAGAGGUCACUUCCUUCCAAGCUUCCCACGAGGAUUUUAAGUCAUCCGGUGGUCAGAGGGCAUAAGGGUCCUAGCGACCAUUUGCAAGUUUUGUAAAAGUAGGCGAGGAGUGUCAGAGAAUAAGGGUGGAAGGCUAAGGUAUAACCUUCACUUUCUUUGAAGAUUUAGGACAGGUGAGAAAUAUAUAGGUUUUGCAAGUACUUUCGAAGGCUCUGGAAAACAGAUUUGUCCUAACUAACGUUUGUGCUAACCAAGGGCUUCCUACAAUCAGGAUGGCUCUGAUACCAGCUCUGUGGGGACCCAGACUUACGAGUCGAUAUCACCGAAUGAUCAUGCUGAGUGAUCCUAGAGAUCAAUGCUCACCGAACACACAUAAACUGAAUAACAAGAGUCUUACAACCUUACAUACCGUUUGAUACAAUAAAUGACCAUUGCGGUCAAGUCUUACAUAUAUAGUACCUUGAAGGCCAACACACCAAAC
Molecule: long non-coding RNA, 568 nt
Filed under: Hordeum vulgare
Lineage: Eukaryota; Viridiplantae; Streptophyta; Magnoliopsida; Poales; Poaceae
Description: long non-coding RNA (HVUL_LNC001200)
Source: RNAcentral